UGAGUCGGUCGGGCGGCCGCGUUGCACCUCUGGUGCACCGAGGAACGUCCGGGCUCCGUAGAGCAAGGUGGUGGGUAACGCCCACCCGGGGUGACCCGCGGGAAAGUGCCACAGAGAGCAGACCGCCCGUCCUCGGACGGGUAAGGGUGAAACGGUGGUGUAAGAGACCACCAGCGCGGCGGGCGACCGUCGCGGCUAGGUAAACCCCACCUGGAGCAAGACCAGACAGGGUGCGUUCGAGGGCUGCUCGCCCGAGCACCCGGGUAGGUCGCUGGAGGCGUGCGGCAACGUACGUCGUAGAUGGAUGGCCGCCCAUCGGAGCGAGGCAACUCGCCCGUGGACAGAACCCGGCGUACAGACCGACUCAUCCG
RNAcentral lists this RNase P RNA (371 nucleotides) under Sanguibacter hominis ATCC BAA-789. RNAcentral describes it as "RNase P RNA component class A". It matches the Rfam family "Bacterial RNase P class A". Rfam says of the family: Ribonuclease P (RNase P) is a ubiquitous endoribonuclease, found in archaea, bacteria and eukarya as well as chloroplasts and mitochondria. The record is from RNAcentral. Lineage: Bacteria; Bacillati; Actinomycetota; Actinomycetes; Micrococcales; Sanguibacteraceae.